GCCUGUUGUAUUCAGCAUUUCACUGUGAGGUCUACUACACCUGUUGUAUUCAGCAUUUCACUGUGAGGUCUACUACACCUGUUGUAUUCAGCAUUUCACUGUGAGGUCUACUACACCUGUUGUAUUCAGCAUUUCACUGUGAGGUCUACUACACCUGUUGUAUUCAGCAUUUCACUGUGAGGUCUACUACACCUGUUGUAUUCAGCAUUUCACUGUGAGGUCUACUACACCUGUUGUAUUCAGCAUUUCACUGUAAGGUCUACUACACCUGUUGUAUUCAGUAUUUCACUGUAAGGUCUACUACACCUGUUGUAUUCAGUAUUUCUCUGUAAGGUCUACUACACCUGUUGUAUUCAGCAUUUCACUGUGAGGUCUACUACACCUGUUGUAUUCAGCAUUUCACUGUAAGGUCUACUACACAUGUUGUAUUCAGCAUUUCACUGUAAGGUCUACUACACCUGUUGUAUUCAGCAUUUCACUGUGAGGUCUACUACACCUGUUGUAUUCAGCAUUUCACUGUAAGGUCUACUACACCUGUUGUAUUCAGCAUUUCACUGUGAAGUCUACUACACCUGUUGUAUUCAGCAUUUCACUGUGAGGUCUACUACACCUGUUGUAUUCAGCAUUUCACUGUGAGGUCUACUACACCUGUUGUAUUCAGCAUUUCACUGUGAGGUCUACUACACCUGUUGUAUUCAGCAUUUCACUGUGAGGUCUACUACACCUGUUGUAUUCAGCAUUUCACUGUAAGGUCUACUACACCUGUUGUA
This is a long non-coding RNA of Oncorhynchus keta (chum salmon), 770 nucleotides long. RefSeq lists it as uncharacterized. Lineage: Eukaryota; Metazoa; Chordata; Actinopteri; Salmoniformes; Salmonidae. The record is from RefSeq and is a predicted model, not a curated record. The transcript has 3 exons.